RNAcentral lists this ribosomal RNA (440 nucleotides) under uncultured bacterium. Its description in RNAcentral is "partial 16S ribosomal RNA". It matches the Rfam family "Bacterial small subunit ribosomal RNA", at positions 338 to 795 of the family's 1533-position model. The record is from RNAcentral.
CCUACGGGGGGCAGCAGUGGGGAAUAUUGGACAAUGGGGGGAACCCUGAUCCAGCGACGCCGCGUGAGUGAAGAAGUAUUUCGGUAUGUAAAGCUCUAUCAGCAGGGAAGAAAAUGACGGUACCUGACUAAGAAGCGCCGGCUAAAUACGUGCCAGCAGCCGCGGUAAGACGGAGGGGGCAAGCGGUAUCCGGAUUGACUGGGUGUAAAGGGAGCGUAGACGGUGCAGCAAGUCUGAUGUGAAAGGUCGGGGCACAACCCCGGGACUGCAUUGGAAACUGUUGAACUGGAGUACAGGAGAGGUAAGCGGAAUUCCUAGUGUAGCGGUGAAAUGCGUAGAUAUUAGGAGGAACACCAGUGGCGAAGGCAGCUUACUGGACUGUAACUGACGUUGAGGCUCGAAAGCGUGGGGAGCGAACAGGAUUAGAUACCCGGGUAGUC